AGAGUUUGAUCCUGGCUCAGGAUGAACGCUAGCUACAGGCUUAACACAUGCAAGUCGAGGGGAAACGGCAUUGAGUGCUUGCACUCUUUGGACGUCGACCGGCGCACGGGUGAGUAACGCGUAUCCAACCUUCCCAUUACUGUGGGAUAACCUGCCGAAAGGCAGACUAAUACCGCAUAGUCUUCGUUGAUGGCAUCAGAUAUGAAGUAAAGAUUUAUCGGUAAUGGAUGGGGAUGCGUCUGAUUAGCUUGUUGGCGGGGUAACGGCCCACCAAGGCAACGAUCAGUAGGGGUUCUGAGAGGAAGGUCCCCCACAUUGGAACUGAGACACGGUCCAAACUCCUACGGGAGGCAGCAGUGAGGAAUAUUGGUCAAUGGACGGAAGUCUGAACCAGCCAAGUAGCGUGCAGGAUGACGGCCCUAUGGGUUGUAAACUGCUUUUGUAUGGGGAUAAAGUUAGGGACGUGUCCCUAUUUGCAGGUACCAUACGAAUAAGGACCGGCUAAUUCCGUGCCAGCAGCCGCGGUAAUACGGAAGGUCCAGGCGUUAUCCGGAUUUAUUGGGUUUAAAGGGAGCGUAGGCUGGAGAUUAAGUGUGUUGUGAAAUGUAGACGCUCAACGUCUGAAUUGCAGCGCAUACUGGUUUCCUUGAGUACGCACAACGUUGGCGGAAUUCGUCGUGUAGCGGUGAAAUGCUUAGAUAUGACGAAGAACUCCGAUUGCGAAGGCAGCUGACGGGAGCGCAACUGACGCUUAAGCUCGAAGGUGCGGGUAUCAAACAGGAUUAGAUACCCUGGUAGUCCGCACAGUAAACGAUGGAUGCCCGCUGUUGGUACCUGGUAUCAGCGGCUAAGCGAAAGCAUUAAGCAUCCCACCUGGGGAGUACGCCGGCAACGGUGAAACUCAAAGGAAUUGACGGGGGCCCGCACAAGCGGAGGAACAUGUGGUUUAAUUCGAUGAUACGCGAGGAACCUUACCCGGGCUUGAAUUGCAGAGGAAGGAUUUAGAGAUAAUGACGCCCUUCGGGGUCUCUGUGAAGGUGCUGCAUGGUUGUCGUCAGCUCGUGCCGUGAGGUGUCGGCUUAAGUGCCAUAACGAGCGCAACCCCUCUCUUCAGUUGCCAUCAGGU
Molecule: ribosomal RNA, 1126 nt
Filed under: metagenome
Description: bacterial SSU rRNA
Rfam family: Bacterial small subunit ribosomal RNA
Source: RNAcentral